AGAGUUUGAUCAUGGCUCAGAUUGAACGCUGGCGGCAGGCCUAACACAUGCAAGUCGAGCGGUAACAGAAAGAAAGCUUGCUUUCUUUGCUGACGAGCGGCGGACGGGUGAGUAAUGCCUGGGAAUAUACCCUGAUGUGGGGGAUAACUAUUGGAAACGAUAGCUAAUACCGCAUAAUCUCUUCGGAGCAAAGAGGGGGACCUUCGGGCCUCUCGCGUCAGGAUUAGCCCAGGUGGGAUUAGCUAGUUGGUGGGGUAAUGGCUCACCAAGGCGACGAUCCCUAGCUGGUCUGAGAGGAUGAUCAGCCACACUGGAACUGAGACACGGUCCAGACUCCUACGGGAGGCAGCAGUGGGGAAUAUUGCACAAUGGGGGAAACCCUGAUGCAGCCAUGCCGCGUGUAUGAAGAAGGCCUUCGGGUUGUAAAGUACUUUCAGUUGUGAGGAAGGCAGUUAAGUUAAUAGCUUGGCUGUUUGACGUUAGCAACAGAAGAAGCACCGGCUAACUCCGUGCCAGCAGCCGCGGUAAUACGGAGGGUGCGAGCGUUAAUCGGAAUUACUGGGCGUAAAGCGCAUGCAGGCGGUCUGUUAAGCAAGAUGUGAAAGCCCGGGGCUCAACCUCGGAACAGCAUUUUGAACUGGCAGACUAGAGUCUUGUAGAGGGGGGGUAGAAUUUCAGUGUAGCGGUGAAAUGCGUAGAGAUCUGAAAGGAAUACCGGUGGCGAAAGGCGGGCCCCUGGACAAAGACUGACGCUCAGAUGCGAAAGCGUGGGGAGCAAACAGGAUUAGAUACCCUGGUAGUCCACGCCGUAAACGAUGUCUACUUGAAGGUUGUGGCCUUGAGCCGUGGCUUUCGGAGCUAACGCGUUAAGUAGACCGCCUGGGGAGUACGGUCGCAAGAUUAAAACUCAAAGGAAUUGACGG
RNAcentral lists this ribosomal RNA (923 nucleotides) under uncultured bacterium. Its description in RNAcentral is "bacterial SSU rRNA". It matches the Rfam family "Bacterial small subunit ribosomal RNA", at positions 8 to 916 of the family's 1533-position model. The record is from RNAcentral.